GUCCACGCCGUAAACUAUGAGAACUAGCCGUUGGGGCCCUUGAGGUCUUAGUGGCGCAGCUAACGCGAUAAGUUCUCCGCCUGGGGAGUACGGCCGCAAGGUUAAAACUCAAAUGAAUUGACGGGGGCCCGCACAAGCGGUGGAGCAUGUUGUUUAAUUCGAUGCAACGCGAAGAACCUUACCACCCCUUGACAUCCUCAGAACUUGUCGGAGACGACUUGGUGCCUUCGGGAACUGAGUGACAGGUGCUGCAUGGCUGUCGU
This 263-nucleotide ribosomal RNA is filed under the name uncultured bacterium. Its description in RNAcentral is "partial 16S ribosomal RNA". It matches the Rfam family "Bacterial small subunit ribosomal RNA", at positions 793 to 1055 of the family's 1533-position model. The record is from RNAcentral.